CUUCUCACCUGCGUACGUAACGGACCAGCUCUGUCUUCAAGACGCCGUGAGAACUCACCUGUACGUCUUGAGACGUCAGAACUAACAGCCUUCGGUUCCUGGAGAGUCUAAGAGCCCUUCAGAGACCUUAAAGACUGGGAAAAGGUCGCCAACCUCUCCCAAGACACUUCUGGAAAAGUUCAGGGUCAGACCAGGCAUGGACGGAAGAGAACAGGAGACAAUGGAGGAGAAAAAGGAGUCCGGGUCAGAGGAUUCCGGGUCUAAAGAGUCGAGUUGGAAGAAAAGGAAGGAAGACGAGGAGGCGCUGCGGGAGGCUGCAGAGGAAGGAAACACGGACAGAGUGAAGCAGCUGUUAGCGGGGGGAGUCAACCCUAAUGCUGCUGGUGG
Branchiostoma belcheri (Belcher's lancelet) is the source of this 387-nucleotide long non-coding RNA. RefSeq lists it as uncharacterized. The transcript has 3 exons. Lineage: Eukaryota; Metazoa; Chordata; Leptocardii; Amphioxiformes; Branchiostomatidae. The record is from RefSeq and is a predicted model, not a curated record.